UAAACAUCAAAGGCCAUAAUUUCUUACUUCUACAAAUGCAAGAGGCAACGUUGCUUUACCGAUUUGGUAAUCAAAACCAUGGUAAAAGCUCAUAAUCCAAUAUCCCUAGGAGACACACUUCCUUGACCGGGUAAUUCAGGUUCAUAUAUUAGGUGAUGCACUUCCUAAAUUGAACCUUCACUCUUAGAAGCCGUACUUUCUAGUUGAGUCCUUCCAUUUAAUCUUUAGGAGAUGUAUUUCUUUGUUUGGGUAACUUAAGUAAAAUUUGUAAGGAGACGUAUUUCUUUGUUUGGGUAAUUCAAGCGAUAUUUAUAAGGAGACCCAUUUCCUUGUUUGGGUAGUUCAAGCGACAUUUGUAAGGAGACAUAUUUUCUUGUCUGGGUAAUUCAAGUGGCAGUUGUAAGGAGACACACUUCCUUAAUUAGGUAAUUAAAGUUUCACUUGUUUGGUGAUGCACUUCCUAAUUUAAAUCUUAACUCCUAGAAAAUGCAAUUUCUAGUUGAGUCAUUCCACUUGACCCCUAGGAGACACACUUCCUUGACUGGGUAAUUCAAGUUCAUUUAUUAGGUGAUGCACUUCCUAAAUUUAACCUUCACUCCUAGAAGCCGUACUUUCUAGUUGAGUCCUCCAUUUAAUCUUUAGGAGAGAUAUUUCCUUGUCGAGGUAAUUUAAGUAGCAUUUGUAAGGAGACGCAUUUUCUUGUUUGGAUAAUUCAAGCGAUAUUUGUAAGGAGACACGUUUCCUUAUAUGGGUAAUUCAAGUGGCAUUUGUAAGGAUACCCACUUUCUUAAUUAGGUAAUUCAAGUUUUACUUGUUAGGUGAUGCACUUCCUAACUUAAGUCUUGACUCCUGGAAAAUGCAUUUUCUAGUCGAGUUAUUCCACUUGACCCUUAGGAGACACACUUUUUUUGUUGGUAUUCAAGGAGACGUAUUUCCUUAUAUGGGUAAUUCAAGUGGCAUUUGUAAGGAGACCCACUUUCUUAAUUAGGUAAUUCAAGUUUUGCUUGUUAGGUGAUGCACUUUCUAACUUAAGUCUUGACUCCUGGAAAAUGCAUUUUCUAGUCGAGUUAUUCCACUUGACCCUUAGGAGACACACUUUUUUGUUAGGUAUUCAAGUUUCAUUUGUUAGAUGGUUCACUUCUUAACUUAAGCCUGGACUCCUAGAAAAUGCAUUUUCUAUUUGAGUCGUUCUACUUGAUCCUUAGGAGAUAAACUUCCUUGUUGGGUAUUCAAAUUUUCGCUCAUUAAGAGACAAACUUCCUAACUUAAGCUUUUACUCCUAGGAAAUGUACUUUAUAGUUGAGUAGUUAACUCUUAGGAGGCACACUUCCUUGUCAGGGUAAUUCAAGUUUCGCUUAAUAGGUCGUUCACUUCCUAACUUAAGCCUUUACUCCUAGAAAAUGCACAUUCUAGUCGAGUCAUUCCACUUGAACCUUAGGAGACACACUUUCUUAUUUAGGUAUUAAAAUUUCACUUGUUAGGUGGCACACUUCCUAACUCAAGCCUUGAUCCCUAGAAGAUGCACUUUCUAGUCGAGUCAUUUCACUUAACCCUUAGGAGACACAUUUCCUUGUAUGGGUAAUUCAAGUUUGGCUUGCUAGGUGACACACUUCCUAAUUUAAGCUUUUACUCCUAGAAGAUGCACUUUCUAGUCGAGUCAUUCCACUUAAUCCUUAGUAGAUGCACUUCCUUGUCAGGGUAUUCAAUUUUUUCAUUUGUCGGGUGACACACUUCCUAACUUAAACCUUUAUCUCUAGAAGAAGCACUUUCUAGUUAGAGUUCCUCACUCUAUUUUUUAGAAGACGCACUUCCUAGUCUUGGUCAUUUAAUUUUAUCCUCAAGAGAUGCAUUUAUUGAUCAGAGUCUUGAUUCACCUUUGCAUUACGCAUUUUGCAAAUAGUUGUGAUUGAGUUUGACGCCCAUACAAGUUUUUGAUGAAAAACUGGGCAAAAAUUUAAUUCCUGUUAUUUGGAACUUCACUUUUGCACCCUCCUAGAAAAUAGGACUUUACUUUACUGAAAAUGGAAUCUCUCUUUAUAAUAAUCUUUGUUUGGGAUAAUGUUUGUUCUAGUUUUGAUUUUGAUUUUAGGAACCCUCUUGGAGAACAGGGUGAUGACAUUGAAAUUCAAGAGCCCGCCCGAAGAAUGGGGUGUUGAAAUUGCAAGUUAGGAGCUCGCCUGAAGAAUAGGAUAAAGAAAUUAAAAGUCAAGCAACAAGGUGAAGAAAUUAAAAGUCAACAGAUUAAAAAAAUAGCAAUUCAGGGGCCCGCCUGGAGAACAGAAUGAAGAAAUUAAAAGUUAAGCAACAAAGCGAAGAAAUUGUACCACCGACAAAACAUGGUCAAUUUUUGAGUUCAUCUCCAACACCAGAUUUUGUAUGGAGAAAGAAUUAUUCUCAAAUUUAAUCCAAUGAAAAUCAAAUCAUUCAUCACUUUUGAAAGCAUUGAAGACUCAAGUCAAGAGUCAAGAGAAGCUGCAUAGAUAGGAUUUUUGUAAUGUCAGUUAUAUUUUUAACUUGUAAUUUCAUUUUUGAUAUAAUGACAGAGCCGCGGAUCAGAACCUCGAUAGGCCUCACUCGACUUUCCAACUCAGUAUGGUCUCUUUCCUUGUCAGCUCUAGAGUUACGUGUGACUUGACUCCUACAUAACUUGAGAUAGGUAGAAUGCCCAAAAUCGAAACUCGAUUGCCCUUCUUCCUUUUGUUUCUUUGUUUUAAGUAACGGUCGGGAUAAAAUUCUGUCUCAUUGUCUACUUCUUUGUUUGAAAACACUUUGAGUUUACAUCCACAGAGGGGCAUGAUAUAGACAUGUAAUUUUGUCCCCUCCAAAAGUUAACUUUACCCAUUCAUCCUUGCCUAACCAUGUACCCUAUCAAAUUUAACCACCUCACCUUAUCCUAACUACUCACACUCUUACCCACCUUACUACUCUACCCAACCCCCUACCCCACUCAUAUUUUUUCUAUUUUUCUCUUAAUAAAAUACAGGCAGCAACCAUACAUACUCACACACACCUCACUGUAUAGAGGGGGAAUUUUCACACUACGCACAAACUCUAUUUUUCAAUCUUCCACAGAUAAUAUACAUGCACAUUCACAAAAAAAAUAAAAAUGGACCCUCACCAAAAAACACACACACAAUAUAGAAGGGGCGAGAUCAGAGACGGAGAGGGUGGAUAGUAAAACGAAAAGAGGGAGAGAGAGAAACACACUGAGAGUCUGAGAGAGGGAGAUGAAAGACGAAGAUUGAAAAUAGAGAGGUUAAAUAAAGGAGAAAAACAACAACUUAGGCUAGAUUUUUUGGCGAAUAAUUCAUCGGAAUCCCGAUCUUCUCCGGUAUGACCCACCGAAAUUCAUUGUUGUUGUCAGCCACCUGCAACUAGUGGAAGCAAUUCCAUCAGAGAAAACCAAACCAGCAACUAAAAUCCAUCGCAGUAGUGCACCACUGCUUGAUGGUGCUCCGAGUUAAGCUCAGAUUGACGAUGGUCAUUAAUUCUCAUUGCAAACUCGAGUUAGGCUCGAGUUGGUCAUUCAGUAUUUGAUUCAGGUCGACAAAAAAUAGAAUAAGAGGGUAUAUCGAGUUGGUUGUUUGAGAUUCGAUUUAUGGUUUUUGGAUCCGGC
This 3616-nucleotide long non-coding RNA is filed under the name Capsicum annuum. RNAcentral's name for it is "long non-coding RNA (CANN_LNC003064)". Lineage: Eukaryota; Viridiplantae; Streptophyta; Magnoliopsida; Solanales; Solanaceae. The record is from RNAcentral.